RNAcentral lists this ribosomal RNA (772 nucleotides) under uncultured Neocallimastigales. RNAcentral's name for it is "partial large subunit ribosomal RNA". It matches the Rfam family "Eukaryotic large subunit ribosomal RNA", at positions 23 to 634 of the family's 3401-position model. Lineage: Eukaryota; Fungi; Neocallimastigomycota; Neocallimastigomycetes; Neocallimastigales. The record is from RNAcentral.
GAGAGAGACAUGCGCGCAUAUCAAUAAGCGGAGGAAAAGAAACUAACAAGGAUUCCCUUAGUAACGGCGAGUGAAGCGGGAAGAGCUCAAAUUUGAAAUCUUCAAGGUUUUACCUUGACGAAUUGUAGUUUAAAGAAGUGUUUUCUGCUGAAGUUUUGGUAAAAGUUCUUUGGAAUAGGACAUCAUAGAGGGUGAGAAUCCCGUAUUUGACCAUUAUUUUCAGCUUUGUGAUACACUUUCAAAGAGUCGGAUUGUUUGGGAAUGCAGUCCAAAAUGGGUGGUAAAUUUCAUCUAAAGCUAAAUAUUGGCGAGAGACCGAUAGCGAACAAGUACCGUGAGGGAAAGAUGAAAAGAACUUUGAAAAGAGAGUUAAACAGUACGUGAAAUUGUCAAAAGGGAAGCGUUUGACACCAGUGUUGUUUUCUCGAAAAUCAAUUAAAAAUGGCUCGAUUUUGUAUUGUUGAGACCUUAAAAGCUCACUGUACAUUUUUCGUGUCUUUUUUAAUGCACUUUUCGUUUAACAAGUCAACAUCAGUUUCUUUUGUUGUAAAAGGGUCAUUGGAAGGUGGCUUUCUUUUCGGAGAAAGUGUUUAUAGCCUUUGGCCUCUGCAAUCGGAGAGACUGAGGUCUGCAGCGUAGACUCUUCGGGGUUAGAUACAUUUGUGCUAAGUUAUAGCUUUUAUAGACAACUUGUUGACUAUGAUCAGUCAUGUAGCUUACUCGCUUAUGCUAUUUUACCUACGCUUAGGAUGUUGAGUCGUAGAGCACGCAG